This 596-nucleotide ribosomal RNA is filed under the name uncultured bacterium. Its description in RNAcentral is "bacterial SSU rRNA". It matches the Rfam family "Bacterial small subunit ribosomal RNA", at positions 112 to 704 of the family's 1533-position model. The record is from RNAcentral.
AAUGCCUAGGAAUCUGCCUGGUAGUGGGGGAUAACGUUCGGAAACGGACGCUAAUACCGCAUACGUCCUACGGGAGAAAGCAGGGGACCUUUGGGCCUUGCGCUAUCAGAUGAGCCUAGGUCGGAUUAGCUAGUUGGUGAGGUAAUGGCUCACCAAGGCGACGAUCCGUAACUGGUCUGAGAGGAUGAUCAGUCACACUGGAACUGAGACACGGUCCAGACUCCUACGGGAGGCAGCAGUGGGGAAUAUUGGACAAUGGGCGAAAGCCUGAUCCAGCCAUGCCGCGUGUGUGAAGAAGGUCUUCGGAUUGUAAAGCACUUUAAGUUGGGAGGAAGGGUUGUAGAUUAAUACUCUGCAAUUUUGACGUUACCGACAGAAUAAGCACCGGCUAACUCUGUGCCAGCAGCCGCGGUAAUACAGAGGGUGCAAGCGUUAAUCGGAAUUACUGGGCGUAAAGCGCGCGUAGGUGGUUUGUUAAGCUGGAUGUGAAAUCCCCGGGCUCAACCUGGGAACUGCAUUCAAAACUGACUGACUAGAGUAUGGUAGAGGGUGGUGGAAUUUCCUGUGUAGCGGUGAAAUGCGUAGAUAUAGGAAGG